CCCUUAGAUGUUCUGGGCCGCACGCGCGCUACACUGACGACUUCAACGAGUUUUUUUCAUUUGAAAAAGUCCUUGGCCGGAAGGUCUGGGUAAUCUUUUAAAAGGUCGUCGUGAUGGGGCUAGAUUCUUGCAAUUAUUAAUCUCCAACGAGGAAUUCCUAGUAAACGCAAGUCAUCAGCUUGCAUUGAUUACGUCCCUGCCCUUUGUACACACCGCCCGUCGCACCUACCGAUUGAAUGAUCCGGUGAAGCCUUCGGACUUUUGUGGUAGUCUUUUGUUAGACUCCAUGGAGGGAAGUUGUAUAAACCUUAUCAUUUAGAGGAAGGUGAAGUCGUAACA
This 339-nucleotide ribosomal RNA is filed under the name uncultured eukaryote. Its description in RNAcentral is "partial 18S ribosomal RNA". It matches the Rfam family "Eukaryotic small subunit ribosomal RNA", at positions 1470 to 1796 of the family's 1831-position model. The record is from RNAcentral.